GACGAACGCUGGCGGCGUGCUUAACACAUGCAAGUCGAACGGAAAGGCCUCUUUCGGGGGGUACUCGAGUGGCGAACGGGUGAGUAACACGUGAGUAACCUGCCCUUGACUUUGGGAUAACUUCAGGAAACUGGGGCUAAUACCGGAUAGGAGCUCCUGCUGCAUGGUGGGGGUUGGAAAGUUUCGGCGGUUGGGGAUGGACUCGCGGCUUAUCAGCUUGUUUGUGGGGUAGUGGCUUACCAAGGCUUUGACGGGUAGCCGGCCUGAGAGGGUGACCGGCCACAGUGGGACUGAGAUACGGCCCAGACUCCUACGGGAGGCAGCAGUGGGGAAUAUUGCACAAUGGGUGGAAGCCUGAUGCAGCAACGCCGUGUGCGGGAUGACGGCCUUCGGGUUGUAAACCGCUUUCGCUCAUGACGAAGCUUUGUGUGACGGUAGUGGGUAAAGAAGCACCGGCUAACUACGUG
This 467-nucleotide ribosomal RNA is filed under the name uncultured bacterium. Its description in RNAcentral is "partial 16S ribosomal RNA". It matches the Rfam family "Bacterial small subunit ribosomal RNA", at positions 28 to 507 of the family's 1533-position model. The record is from RNAcentral.